UGGGAAUAUUGGACAAUGGGCGCAAGCCUGAUCCAGCCAUGCCGCGUGAGUGAUGAAGGCCUUAGGGUUGUAAAGCUCUUUCGACGGGGACGAUAAUGACGGUACCGUAGAAGAAGCCCCGGCUAACUUCGUGCCAGCAGCCGCGUAAUACGAAGGGGGCUAGCGUUGCUCGGAAUCACUGGGCGUAAAGGGCGCGUAGGCGGACGUUUAAGUCAGAGGUGAAAGCCCAGGGCUCAACCCUGGAAUGGCCUUUGAUACUGGACGUCUUGAGUCUGGUAGAGGUUGGUGGAACUGCGAGUGUAGAGGUGAAAUUCGUAGAUAUUCGCAAGAACACCGGUGGCGAAGGCGGCCAACUGGACCAGAACUGACGCUGAGGCGC
Molecule: ribosomal RNA, 379 nt
Filed under: uncultured bacterium
Lineage: Bacteria
Description: partial 16S ribosomal RNA
Rfam family: Bacterial small subunit ribosomal RNA
Source: RNAcentral